RNAcentral lists this ribosomal RNA (253 nucleotides) under uncultured bacterium. RNAcentral describes it as "partial 16S ribosomal RNA". It matches the Rfam family "Bacterial small subunit ribosomal RNA", at positions 524 to 776 of the family's 1533-position model. The record is from RNAcentral.
UACGUAGGGAGCAAGCGUUGUCCGGAAUCAUUGGGCGUAAAGCGCGCGUAGGUGGCCCCAUAAGUCCGCUGUGAAAGUCAAAGGCUCAACCUUUGAAAGCCGGUGGAUACUGUCGGGCUUGAGUACGGAAGAGGCGAGUGGAAUUCCUGGUGUAGCGGUGAAAUGCGCAGAUAUCAGGAGGAACACCAAUUGCGAAGGCAGCUCGCUGGGACGUUACUGACGCUGAGACGCGAAAGCGUGGGGAGCAAACAGG